AACAACAUUCUCCUAAUCCCUAGCCAGGCCAGCCAUGUGGGAACAACAUUCUCCUAAUCCCUAGCCAGGCCAUCCAUGUGGGAACAACAUUCUCCUAAUCCCUAGCCAGCCGUGUGGGAACAACAUUCUCCUAAUCCCUAGCCAGCCAGUGUGGGAACAACAUUCUCCUAAUCCCUAGCCAGCCAUGUGGGAACAACAUUCUCCUAAUCCCUAGCCAGCCAUGUGGGAACAACAUUCUCCUAAUCCCUAGCCAGGCCAGCCAUGUGGGAACAACAUUCUCCUAAUCCCUAGCCAGGCCAGCCAUGUGGGAACAACAUUCUCCUAAUCCCUAGCCAG
Oncorhynchus tshawytscha (Chinook salmon) is the source of this 336-nucleotide long non-coding RNA. The record is from Ensembl. Lineage: Eukaryota; Metazoa; Chordata; Actinopteri; Salmoniformes; Salmonidae.